Juglans microcarpa x Juglans regia is the source of this 276-nucleotide long non-coding RNA. RefSeq lists it as uncharacterized. The record is from RefSeq and is a predicted model, not a curated record. NCBI's taxonomy places the organism in Eukaryota, Viridiplantae, Streptophyta, Magnoliopsida, Fagales, Juglandaceae. The transcript is spliced from 2 exons.
UCCCUUACCGAAAGCGUCUUCUCCCCCUCCCUCUGCUAAUCCCUCUCCCCCCUUACAAAAGCAUAUCAUGGUUCUCUCCCCCGUCGACACCCCUCGAAGCGUGCCCUAAGAGGACCUAAAAAUCCCCCAUGAAAAUCCAUCUACCAAAGCCCUCUCCCCAGUCAAAUGGAACUUCCAACGGCAGUGGUGAAUCAGGUUUUGGGUUUGAUUUUAACUCAACCAGUUGGUGAUGAGGGAAAGUGCAAUGAUGAGGCAGACUUCGUCUCAUGGUCACAG